CUGAACUUAAGCAUAUCAAUAAGCCGAGGA
This 30-nucleotide ribosomal RNA is filed under the name Thanatephorus cucumeris. Its description in RNAcentral is "partial 28S ribosomal RNA". The record is from RNAcentral. Lineage: Eukaryota; Fungi; Basidiomycota; Agaricomycetes; Cantharellales; Ceratobasidiaceae.